Long non-coding RNA from Amaranthus tricolor (Joseph's coat), 746 nucleotides. RefSeq lists it as uncharacterized. NCBI's taxonomy places the organism in Eukaryota, Viridiplantae, Streptophyta, Magnoliopsida, Caryophyllales, Amaranthaceae. The transcript has 3 exons. The record is from RefSeq and is a predicted model, not a curated record.
GGGAGAGUGUUAAAAGUAGAUAGCAUUGGCAGUGAAUGCAUUGAAAGAAACAAUACUAUCCUUUCCUAUAGUUGCAAAUAGUACAUGAAUAGUAUCAUAAGCGACAUGUCUAUAGUUAGAGAAAAAUGCAACUAGCAUCUUAACAAACCUGCUGCUUGCUUCCAUUCAACAUUGCAAAUUUCUUAUGCCAAUUGCUUACUUCCAUUGACGACAUAGAUGUUGCUUCUGCAGGCCUCUACCACACCGCGACUGCUGCUACCGGCUUCCUCUACACCGGAUAUUGUUGUUGUUGCCGGCAUUGCGAACAUGCGAACAAAGAAAAAAUUGUUCGCUCUCCUCUUAUUUCAGCCCUAAUUCGCACAACUUUUUGAAGAUCAGUAAUUUACAUUCAAUGAGGUUACAUAAUCUUAUUGUAGAAACAAAAUUAUCAUAUCUCAUUACCAAGAUUGAUAGUUUGCCAUAUCGAUGUUUAUUCGAAGGACAAAAAUUCUCAACUUGAAUCCACUAUUCACUUUCGCAAGCUGCUUUCUAUAUGAAACAUGUAGGAUUGAAUCUCAAAAACCGAGAGCUUUUGAUGUGUGACACUCUUUUUGGAGUCAAGAAUUCAUUAUUUUUAUGACUAGAGUAAGUUUAAAAGUAAUUGUGUCAAGUUUAAAAACACCUUUUGAUUUAUUAGGACUUUAAUUUGUAUAUGUACAUAUUAUUAUAUUAUAUAUACGAUCGAGAGUUUACAAAGAGAUUAUUGU